CUAGAAAUGAAUGAUUUUUAUUUCUUUAUCUGAAGAACCAAGGGAUUAAUACUGACACUCAAUAUUUUGUCUUCAUAGGUUUAAUCAUACUUCUAAAUAUUUUAUCCUCGACAGAUAUAAAGCAGACAGAACAAUCUAAAGCCACAUAGUAAUGGUUCCAUAGAGCACUGCUUCAACUUAAAGGCAAACUCUGAGAGGUAGGUUAAGAGAUGAAAAGAGUAGGAGAGUCUCUUUUCUCAAUUAAAUGAGAAGUCACUUUAAUUGAACCUCAAACAGUUGUGUUUUUAUUUAUAGCACUUUACAAAUAUAAUGCAAAUUUAUCAGUUGUACUAUGUGAAUGAUUUUGGAAUUUUAUCUCAUGCCACAGCAUAUGUUACAUAACAGCCAAAUGGAAAAUGUACCUCAAAAGGGGGGAAAUGAGGGCUUUCACAUAAAUUGACUGUCCAUAAC
This 450-nucleotide long non-coding RNA is filed under the name Bos taurus (domestic cattle). RNAcentral describes it as "long non-coding RNA NONBTAT014063". Lineage: Eukaryota; Metazoa; Chordata; Mammalia; Artiodactyla; Bovidae. The record is from RNAcentral.